This 315-nucleotide ribosomal RNA is filed under the name uncultured eukaryote. RNAcentral's name for it is "partial 18S ribosomal RNA". It matches the Rfam family "Eukaryotic small subunit ribosomal RNA", at positions 1470 to 1796 of the family's 1831-position model. The record is from RNAcentral.
CCCUUAGACGUUCUGGGCCGCACGCGCGCUACACUGACCAGUGCAACAAGCAUCCGUCCUUGGCCGACAGGCUCGGGCAAUCUUUGAACGCUGGUCGUGAUGGGGAUAGACUUUUGCAAUUUUUGGUCUUCAACGAGGAAUUCCUAGUAAACGCAAGUCAUCAACUUGCAUUGAUUACGUCCCUGCCCUUUGUACACACCGCCCGUCGCACCUACCGAUUGGAUGGUCCGGUGAAGCCUCCGGAUUGGCGCGCACCUCGGUGCCGCCGAGAAGUUGGCUAAACCUUACCAUUUAGAGGAAGGUGAAGUCGUAACA